This 26-nucleotide non-coding RNA is filed under the name Homo sapiens (human). Lineage: Eukaryota; Metazoa; Chordata; Mammalia; Primates; Hominidae. The record is from RNAcentral.
UAGAACAUGCCUGAAUAGAUCUAGUU